UGAAUACGAGAUGCUACGGCGUCGAAGCAGUCUAUGUCAUACUUCCAAGAAAAGCUCGCACUGUCAUAAACAAAUAAUGCCUGUACCAUAACCGACACAGGUGGGUAGGUAGAGUAUACUAAGGGGCGCGAGAUAACUCUCUCUAAGGAACUCGGCAAAAUGACUCCGUAACUUCGGGAGAAGGAGUGCCUUAUUUAUAAGGUUGCAAUAACAAGAUCCAAGCAACUGUUUAUCAAAAACACAGGUCUCCGCUAAGUCGUAAGACGAUGUAUGGGGGCUGACGCCUGCCCAGUGCCAGAAGGUUAAAGAAGUUGGUUAGCAUUCGCGAAGCUGAUAACUGAAGCCCUGGUGAACGGCGGCCGUAACAAUAACGGUCCUAAGGUAGCGAAAUUCCUUGUCGGGUAAGUUCCGACCCGCACGAAAGGCGUAAUGAUUUGGAUACUGUCUCGGAGAGGGGCUCGGUGAAAUAGACUUGUCUGUGAAGAUGCGGACUACCUGCACCAGGACAGAAAGACCCUAUGAAGCUUUACUGUAACUUGAGAUUGAAAUUGGACUUUACUUGCGCAGUAUGGGUGGGAGGCGUUGAUAAUAUUCUUGCGGGAUUAUUUGAGCCAUCAGUGAGAUACCACUCUUGUAAUGUUAGAUUUCUAACUUUGUAUCAUUAUCUGGUCAAAGGACAGUUUCAGGCGGGCAGUUUGACUGGGGCGGUCGCCUCCUAAACGGUAACGGAGGCGCACAAAGGUUUCCUCUGAACGGGUAGAAAUCGUAUCUAGAGUGUAAAGGCAUAAGGAAGCUUGACUGUGAGACCUACAAGUCGAGCAGGGACGAAAGUCGGUCUUAGUGAUCUGACGGUGCUGAGUGGAAAGGCCGUCACUCAACGGAUAAAAGUUACUCUAAGGAUAACAGGCUGAUCUCCCCCAAGAGUUCACAUCGACGGGGAGGUUUGGCACCUCGAUGUCGGCUCAUCGCAUCCUGGGGCGGUAGUACGUCCCAAGGGUUGGGCUGUUCGCCCAUGAAAGCGGUACGCGAGCUGGGUUCAGAACGUCGUGAGACAGUUCGGUCCAUAUCCGGUGUAGGCGUUAGAAUAUUGAGAGGAGCCUUCUUUAGUACGAGAGGACCGAGAAGGACAUACCUCUGGUGUACCAGUUAUCGUGCCAACGGUAAACGCUGGGUAGCUAUGUAUGGAGUGGAUAACCGCUGAAAGCAUCUAAGUGGGAAGCCCACCUCAAGAUAAG
RNAcentral lists this ribosomal RNA (1235 nucleotides) under metagenome. RNAcentral describes it as "bacterial LSU rRNA". It matches the Rfam family "Bacterial large subunit ribosomal RNA", at positions 1564 to 2808 of the family's 2925-position model. The record is from RNAcentral.